AUCCCUUUGUAGUUCAUGAGCAUGAUGAUUAGGUGUUCACGUGCCGGUGUGAGAUGUGCCAUGCUCGAAUCUUGUUACAACGUCAGCACGUUAGCCAUCUGAUC
Molecule: small nucleolar RNA, 104 nt
Organism: Callithrix jacchus (white-tufted-ear marmoset)
Lineage: Eukaryota; Metazoa; Chordata; Mammalia; Primates; Cebidae
Source: Ensembl